This is a transfer RNA of Nitratiruptor sp. SB155-2, 72 nucleotides long. It matches the Rfam family "tRNA". From Rfam's summary of the family: Transfer RNA (tRNA) molecules are approximately 80 nucleotides in length. Their secondary structure includes four short double-helical elements and three loops (D, anti-codon, and T loops). The record is from Rfam. NCBI's taxonomy places the organism in Bacteria, Pseudomonadati, Campylobacterota, Epsilonproteobacteria, Nautiliales, Nitratiruptoraceae.
GGCCCCAUCGUCUAGCGGUUAGGACACCGCCCUUUCACGGCGGUGACGGGGGUUCGAGUCCCCCUGGGGUCG